Molecule: ribosomal RNA, 2929 nt
Filed under: Bacillus amyloliquefaciens
Lineage: Bacteria; Bacillati; Bacillota; Bacilli; Caryophanales; Bacillaceae
Description: 23S ribosomal RNA
Rfam family: Bacterial large subunit ribosomal RNA
Source: RNAcentral
GGUUAAGUUAGAAAGGGCGCACGGUGGAUGCCUUGGCACUAGGAGCCGAUGAAGGACGGGACGAACACCGAUAUGCUUCGGGGAGCUGUAAGCAAGCUUUGAUCCGGAGAUUUCCGAAUGGGGAAACCCACCACUCGUAAUGGAGUGGUAUCCAUAUCUGAAUACAUAGGAUAUGAGAAGGCAGACCCGGGGAACUGAAACAUCUAAGUACCCGGAGGAAGAGAAAGCAAAUGCGAUUCCUGAGUAGCGGCGAGCGAAACGGGAUCAGCCCAAACCAAGAGGCUUGCCUCUUGGGGUUGUAGGACACUCUGUACGGAGUUACAAAGGAACGAGGUAGAUGAAGAGGUCUGGAAAGGCCCGCCAUAGGAGGUAACAGCCCUGUAGUCAAAACUUCGUUCUCUCCUGAGUGGAUCCUGAGUACGGCGGAACACGUGAAAUUCCGUCGGAAUCCGGGAGGACCAUCUCCCAAGGCUAAAUACUCCCUAGUGACCGAUAGUGAACCAGUACCGUGAGGGAAAGGUGAAAAGCACCCCGGAAGGGGAGUGAAAGAGAUCCUGAAACCGUGUGCCUACAAGUAGUCAGAGCCCGUUAACGGGUGAUGGCGUGCCUUUUGUAGAAUGAACCGGCGAGUUACGAUCCCGUGCAAGGUUAAGCAGAAGAUGCGGAGCCGCAGCGAAAGCGAGUCUGAAUAGGGCGAAUUGAGUACGUGGUCGUAGACCCGAAACCAGGUGAUCUACCCAUGUCCAGGGUGAAGUUCAGGUAACACUGAAUGGAGGCCCGAACCCACGCACGUUGAAAAGUGCGGGGAUGAGGUGUGGGUAGGGGUGAAAUGCCAAUCGAACCUGGAGAUAGCUGGUUCUCUCCGAAAUAGCUUUAGGGCUAGCCUCAAGGUAAGAGUCUCGGAGGUAGAGCACUGAUUGGACUAGGGGCCCCUACCGGGUUACCGAAUUCAGUCAAACUCCGAAUGCCGAUGACUUAUCCUUGGGAGUCAGACUGCGAGUGAUAAGAUCCGUAGUCGAAAGGGAAACAGCCCAGACCGCCAGCUAAGGUCCCAAAGUAUACGUUAAGUGGAAAAGGAUGUGGAGUUGCUUAGACAACCAGGAUGUUGGCUUAGAAGCAGCCACCAUUUAAAGAGUGCGUAAUAGCUCACUGGUCGAGUGACUCUGCGCCGAAAAUGUACCGGGGCUAAACGUAUCACCGAAGCUGCGGACUGUUCUUCGAACAGUGGUAGGAGAGCGUUCUAAGGGCUGUGAAGCAAGACCGGAAGGACUUGUGGAGCGCUUAGAAGUGAGAAUGCCGGUAUGAGUAGCGAAAGAGGGGUGAGAAUCCCCUCCACCGAAUGCCUAAGGUUUCCUGAGGAAGGCUCGUCCGCUCAGGGUUAGUCGGGACCUAAGCCGAGGCCGAAAGGCGUAGGCGAUGGAUAACAGGUUGAUAUUCCUGUACCACCUCCUCACCAUUUGAGCAAUGGGGGGACGCAGGAGGAUAGGGUAAGCGCGGUAUUGGAUAUCCGCGUCCAAGCAGUUAGGCUGGGAAAUAGGCAAAUCCGUUUCCCGUGAAGGCUGAGCUGUGAUGGCGAGCGAAUUAUAGUAGCGAAGUUCCUGAUUCCACACUGCCAAGAAAAGCCUCUAGCGAGGUGAGAGGUGCCCGUACCGCAAACCGACACAGGUAGGCGAGGAGAGAAUCCUAAGGUGAUCGAGAGAACUCUCGUUAAGGAACUCGGCAAAAUGACCCCGUAACUUCGGGAGAAGGGGUGCUCUGUUAGGGUGCAAGCCCGAGAGAGCCGCAGUGAAUAGGCCCAGGCGACUGUUUAGCAAAAACACAGGUCUCUGCGAAGCCGUAAGGCGAAGUAUAGGGGCUGACGCCUGCCCGGUGCUGGAAGGUUAAGAGGAGCGCUUAGCGUAAGCGAAGGUGCGAAUUGAAGCCCCAGUAAACGGCGGCCGUAACUAUAACGGUCCUAAGGUAGCGAAAUUCCUUGUCGGGUAAGUUCCGACCCGCACGAAAGGCGCAACGAUCUGGGCACUGUCUCAACGAGAGACUCGGUGAAAUUAUAGUACCUGUGAAGAUGCAGGUUACCCGCGACAGGACGGAAAGACCCCGUGGAGCUUUACUGCAGCCUGAUAUUGAAUGUUGGUACAGCUUGUACAGGAUAGGUAGGAGCCUUGGAAACCGGAGCGCCAGCUUCGGUGGAGGCAUCGGUGGGAUACUACCCUGGCUGUAUUGACCUUCUAACCCGCCGCCCUUAUCGGGCGGGGAGACAGUGUCAGGUGGGCAGUUUGACUGGGGCGGUCGCCUCCUAAAAGGUAACGGAGGCGCCCAAAGGUUCCCUCAGAAUGGUUGGAAAUCAUUCGCAGAGUGUAAAGGCACAAGGGAGCUUGACUGCGAGACCUACAAGUCGAGCAGGGACGAAAGUCGGGCUUAGUGAUCCGGUGGUUCCGCAUGGAAGGGCCAUCGCUCAACGGAUAAAAGCUACCCCGGGGAUAACAGGCUUAUCUCCCCCAAGAGUCCACAUCGACGGGGAGGUUUGGCACCUCGAUGUCGGCUCAUCGCAUCCUGGGGCUGUAGUCGGUCCCAAGGGUUGGGCUGUUCGCCCAUUAAAGCGGUACGCGAGCUGGGUUCAGAACGUCGUGAGACAGUUCGGUCCCUAUCCGUCGCGGGCGCAGGAAAUUUGAGAGGAGCUGUCCUUAGUACGAGAGGACCGGGAUGGACGCACCGCUGGUGUACCAGUUGUUCUGCCAAGGGCAUCGCUGGGUAGCUAUGUGCGGACGGGAUAAGUGCUGAAAGCAUCUAAGCAUGAAGCCCCCCUCAAGAUGAGAUUUCCCAUUCCGCAAGGAAGUAAGAUCCCUGAAAGAUGAUCAGGUUGAUAGGUCUGAGGUGGAAGUGUGGCGACACAUGGAGCUGACAGAUACUAAUCGAUCGAGGACUUAACCAA